AUCCGUUGACACCAUAAAGAACACCAAAAGCGAAGGCAGCAUACUGGGGCUCUACUGACACUCAGAGACGAAAGCGUGGGGAGCGAAAGGGAUUAGAUACCCCUGUAGUCCACGCCCUAAACUAUGAUGACUAGGUGUUGGUCCUUCGGGAUCAGUGCCGUAGCUAACGCGUUAAGUCAUCCGCCUGAGUAGUACGGCCGCAAGGCUAAAACUCAAAUGAAUAGACGGGGGCCCACACAAGCAGUGGAUCAUGCGGUUUAAUUCGAUACUGAACGAGGAACCUUACCUAGACUUGAUAUCUAUGAAAUCCUGUAGAAAUAUGGGAGUGCCCGCAAGGGAAUCAUAAGACAGGUGUUGCAUGGUUGCCGUCAGCUCGUGCCUUGAGGUGUUCGGUUGAGUCCGUUAACGAGCGGAACCCAUGUCGUUAGUUAUUAUGUCUAACGAGACUGCCCGAGUUAAUCGGGAGGAAGGUGUGGAUGACGUCAAAUCAGCAUGACCCUUAUGUCUAGGGCUACACGCAUGAUACAAUGGUCGGUACAAAGAGUCGCUAACCUGCGAAGGUACGCCAAUCUCAUAAAGCCGAUCUCAGUCCGGAUUGGAGGCUGCAACUCGCCUCCAUGAAGUUGGAAUUGCUAGUAAUCGUGAAUCAGAUAUGUCACGGUGAAUAUGUUCCUGGGUCUUGUACUCACCGCCCGUCACAGCAUGGAAGAUGUACCUACUGGAAGU
RNAcentral lists this ribosomal RNA (726 nucleotides) under uncultured Verrucomicrobium sp. RNAcentral's name for it is "bacterial SSU rRNA". It matches the Rfam family "Bacterial small subunit ribosomal RNA", at positions 686 to 1427 of the family's 1533-position model. The record is from RNAcentral. Lineage: Bacteria; Pseudomonadati; Verrucomicrobiota; Verrucomicrobiia; Verrucomicrobiales; Verrucomicrobiaceae.